CCUCUCCAAUCAUUUAUAAAUCACCUGCAUAUAUUUCAUCAGUAGCGUU
RNAcentral lists this small RNA (49 nucleotides) under Plasmodium falciparum 3D7. Its description in RNAcentral is "Pfa-npcR7531". Lineage: Eukaryota; Apicomplexa; Aconoidasida; Haemosporida; Plasmodiidae. The record is from RNAcentral.